CCCUUAGACGUUCUGGGCCGCACGCGCGCUACACUGAUCAGUGCAACAAGCAUCCGUCCUUGGCCGACAGGCUCGGGCAAUCUUUGAACGCUGGUCGUGAUGGGGAUAGACUUUUGCAAUUUUUGGUCUUCAACGAGGAAUUCCUAGUAAACGCAAGUCAUCAACUUGCAUUGAUUACGUCCCUGCCCUUUGUACACACCGCCCGUCGCACCUACCGAUUGAAUGGUCCGGUGAAGCCUCCGGAUUGGCGCGCACCUCGGUGCCGCCGAGAAGUUGGCUAAACCUUACCAUUUAGAGGAAGGUGAAGUCGUAACA
This 315-nucleotide ribosomal RNA is filed under the name uncultured eukaryote. Its description in RNAcentral is "partial 18S ribosomal RNA". It matches the Rfam family "Eukaryotic small subunit ribosomal RNA", at positions 1470 to 1796 of the family's 1831-position model. The record is from RNAcentral.